AUUGAACGCUGGCGGCAUGUUUUACACAUGCAAGUCGAACGGUAACAGCACUUCGGUGGCUGACGAGUGGCGAACGGGUGAGUAAUACAUCGGAACGUGCCUAGUAGUGGGGGAUAACUACUCGAAAGAGUAGCUAAUACCGCAUGAGAUCUAAGGAUGAAAGCAGGGGACCUUCGGGCCUUGCGCUACUAGAGCGGCUGAUGGCAGAUUAGGUAGUUGGUGGGAUAAAAGCUUACCAAGCCGACGAUCUGUAGCUGGUCUGAGAGGACGACCAGCCACACUGGGACUGAGACACGGCCCAGAUUCCUACGGGAGGCAGCAGUGGGGAAUUUUGGACAAUGGGCGCAAGCCUGAUCCAGCAAUGCCGCGUGCAGGACGAAGGCCUUCGGGUUGUAAACUGCUUUUGUACGGAACGAAAAGCCCUCUUCUAAUACAGGAGGGUCAUGACGGUACCGUAAGAAUAAGCACCGGCUAACUACGUG
This 482-nucleotide ribosomal RNA is filed under the name uncultured bacterium. RNAcentral's name for it is "partial 16S ribosomal RNA". It matches the Rfam family "Bacterial small subunit ribosomal RNA", at positions 30 to 507 of the family's 1533-position model. The record is from RNAcentral.